This 443-nucleotide ribosomal RNA is filed under the name uncultured bacterium. RNAcentral describes it as "partial 16S ribosomal RNA". It matches the Rfam family "Bacterial small subunit ribosomal RNA", at positions 338 to 795 of the family's 1533-position model. The record is from RNAcentral.
CCUACGGGAGGCAGCAGUGGGGAAUAUUGCACAAUGGGGGAAAGCCUGAACCAGCGACGCCGCGUGAGUGAAGAAGUAUUUCGGAAUGUAAAGCUCUAUCAGCAGGGACGAAAGAACUGACGGUACCUGAGUAGGAAGUUGCGGCUAACUACGUGGCAGCAGCCGAGGGAAUACGUAGGGGGCAAUCGUGAUCUGGAAUUACUGGGCGUAUAGGUGGCGAUGACGGUAAGGCAAGUCUGCGGUGAAAGGCGGGGGCUUAACCUCCGGACUGCUCUGGAAACUGUGUAAAUGGAGUGCAGGAGAGGCAGGGGGAAUUCCUAGUGUAGCGGUGAAAUGCGUAGAUAUUAGGAGGAACACCAGUGGCGAAGGCGGCCUGCUGGACUGUAACUGACGUUGAGGCUCGAAAGCGUGGGGAGCAAACAGGAUUAGAUACCCCAGUAGUC